RNAcentral lists this ribosomal RNA (253 nucleotides) under uncultured bacterium. Its description in RNAcentral is "partial 16S ribosomal RNA". It matches the Rfam family "Bacterial small subunit ribosomal RNA", at positions 524 to 776 of the family's 1533-position model. The record is from RNAcentral.
UACGGAGGAUGCAAGCGUUAUCCGGAAUUAUUGGGCGUAAAGCGUCCGCAGGUGGUUUUUCAAGUCUGCUGUCAAAGACAGAAGCUUAACUUUUGGCAGGCGGUGGAAACUGAAAGACUAGAGACCAGUAGGGGUAGCGGGAAUUCCCAGUGUAGCGGUGAAAUGCGUAGAGAUUGGGAAGAACAUCGGUGGCGAAAGCGCGCUACUGGGCUGGAUCUGACACUCAGGGACGAAAGCUAGGGGAGCGAAAGGG